Molecule: long non-coding RNA, 214 nt
Filed under: Sarcophilus harrisii (Tasmanian devil)
Lineage: Eukaryota; Metazoa; Chordata; Mammalia; Dasyuromorphia; Dasyuridae
Description: lncRNA (ENSSHAG00000032081.1)
Source: RNAcentral
GAGCCUGAUAUUUAGAAUGAGAUUCUUGGGCUGCCUAAACCCUUUCUUUUGUUUUUGGAGGAGCGUCUUAAUGUCUGUUUCCCUUCCUUACUACUGUCUAUACUUGAGGUUUAAACAAUAUGCUAGUGGCCUGUAAAAUCUUAUACUAUGCAUAAAAGUGUGCCAAAUGUUUAGAAGUAUAGACAGGUCGAUUGUCUGUUUUCAUUGCUUGUGG